Long non-coding RNA from Amphimedon queenslandica, 411 nucleotides. RefSeq lists it as uncharacterized. The transcript has 2 exons. The record is from RefSeq and is a predicted model, not a curated record. NCBI's taxonomy places the organism in Eukaryota, Metazoa, Porifera, Demospongiae, Haplosclerida, Niphatidae.
UCUUUAUAAAGCAACAACAGUCACUACCUAGCCUCUAGUAGCGCAGCAAUAUAUUGUACAGGAACAGAGGGAAAUGGCAUGUACUGAAAAUCCAGCAAAAAUGGAAAUUGGUACAAAAACUGAGACACAAAAGGUUGUGAUGCUAAAUGAAGCUAAGGAAAGACCAGCAGUUCGAAAAAGCAGAAGCAAGCCAACUUUGAGAGUCCAAAAAAGUCAAACAGUUGUGAAAGGAAUACCAGAGCCAGAUGGCGACAACAUUGAUUACAAACUCCGGUUCGAUGAAAAACAAUGAAAAAUUCCAAUAUUUGUAAUUAAGUGUACUUUUAAACAUAAACUACAUGAUAAUGCUCUUUUGUAAUAACAAUUACCUUUAAAAAUCUAAUUUGAUAUAGUUCUAAUCAGUUAACUGGA